This 443-nucleotide ribosomal RNA is filed under the name uncultured bacterium. Its description in RNAcentral is "partial 16S ribosomal RNA". It matches the Rfam family "Bacterial small subunit ribosomal RNA", at positions 338 to 795 of the family's 1533-position model. The record is from RNAcentral.
CCUACGGGAGGCUGCAGUGGGGAAUAUUGGGCAAUGGGCGCAAGCCUGACCCAGCAACGCCGCGUGAAGGAAGAAGGCUUUCUGGUUGUUAACUUCUUUUCUCUGGGACGCAGAACGUGACAGUACUUGAGGAAUAAGCCACGGCUAACUACCUGCCAUCAGCCACGGCAAUACGUAGGUGGCAAGCGUUAUCCGGAUUUCAUGGGUGUAAAGGGCGUGUAGGCGGGAUCGCAAGUCAGAUGUGAAAACUCAGGGCUCAAACCUGGGCCUGGAUUUGAAACUGGGUUUCUUGAGUGCUGGAGAGGCAUGCGGAAUUCGGUGUGUAGCGGUGAAAUGCGUAGAUAUACGGAGGAACACCGGUGGCGAAGGCAGAAUGCUGGACAGUAACUGACGCUGAGGCGCGAAAGCGUGGGGAGCGAACAGGAUUAGAUACCCGAGUAGUC